GGAGAGGUGGCAGAGCGGCUGAAUGCACAUCCUUGCUAAGGAUGCGAGGGGGUAACCCCUCCGAGGGUUCGAAUCCCUCCCUCUCCG
RNAcentral lists this transfer RNA (87 nucleotides) under Planctomycetota bacterium. RNAcentral's name for it is "Planctomycetes bacterium tRNA-Ser". It matches the Rfam family "tRNA". From Rfam's summary of the family: Transfer RNA (tRNA) molecules are approximately 80 nucleotides in length. The record is from RNAcentral. Lineage: Bacteria; Pseudomonadati; Planctomycetota.